UUAUCCGGAUUUAUUGGGUGUAAAGGGAGCGUAGGCGGGUGCUUAAGUCAGUUGUGAAAGUUUGCGGCUCAACCGUAAAAUUGCAGUUGAUACUGGGCGCCUUGAGUGCAGCAUAGGUAGGCGGAAUUCGUGGUGUAGCGGUGAAAUGCUUAGAUAUCACGAAGAACUCCGAUUGCGAAGGCAGCUUACUGGACUGUAACUGACGCUGAUGCUCGAAAGUGUGGGUAUCAAACAGGAUUAGAUACCCUGGUAGUCCACACAGUAAACGAUGAAUACUCGCUGUUGGCGAUACACAGUCAGCGGCCAAGCGAAAGCAUUAAGUAUUCCACCUGGGGAGUACGCCGGCAACGGUGAAACUCAA
This 361-nucleotide ribosomal RNA is filed under the name uncultured bacterium. Its description in RNAcentral is "bacterial SSU rRNA". It matches the Rfam family "Bacterial small subunit ribosomal RNA", at positions 541 to 904 of the family's 1533-position model. The record is from RNAcentral.